Transfer RNA from Felis catus (domestic cat), 84 nucleotides. It matches the Rfam family "tRNA". Rfam says of the family: Transfer RNA (tRNA) molecules are approximately 80 nucleotides in length. Their secondary structure includes four short double-helical elements and three loops (D, anti-codon, and T loops). NCBI's taxonomy places the organism in Eukaryota, Metazoa, Chordata, Mammalia, Carnivora, Felidae. The record is from Rfam.
GCCUGGGUGGCUCAGUCGGUUGAGCGUCCGACUUCGGCUCAGGUCAUGAUCUCACAACUCGUGAGUUCGAGCCCGCUUCAGGCU